This 351-nucleotide ribosomal RNA is filed under the name uncultured bacterium. Its description in RNAcentral is "partial 16S ribosomal RNA". It matches the Rfam family "Bacterial small subunit ribosomal RNA", at positions 338 to 704 of the family's 1533-position model. The record is from RNAcentral.
CCUACGGGCAGCAGCAGUGGGGAAUAUUGGGCAAUGGGCGAAAGCCUGACCCAGCAACGCCGCGUGAAGGAAGAAGGCUUUCGGGUUGUAAACUUCUUUUGACAGGGAAGAGCAGAAGACGGUACCGGUCGAAUAAGCCACGGCUAACUACGGGCCAGCAGCCGCGGUAAUACGGAGGUGGCAAGCGUUGUCCGGAUUUACUGGGUGUAAAGGGCGGGUAGCCGGGCUUACAAGUCAGAUGUGAAAUCCGGGGGCUCAACCCCCGAACGGCAUUUGAAACUGUUGGUCUUGAGUAUCGGAGCGGCAGGCGGACUUCCUCGUGUAGCGGUGCACUGCGUAGAUAUUAGGCGG